AGUGAACGCUGGCGGUAGGCCUAACACAUGCAAGUCGAACGGCAGCACAGUAAGAGCUUGCUCUUACGGGUGGCGAGUGGCGGACGGGUGAGGAAUACAUCGGAAUCUACUUUUUCGUGGGGGAUAACGUAGGGAAACUUACGCUAAUACCGCAUACGACCUACGGGUGAAAGCAUGGGAUCUUCGGACCUUGCGCGAUUGAAUGAGCCGAUGUCGGAUUAGCUAGUUGGCGGGGUAAAGGCCCACCAAGGCGACGAUCCGUAGCUGGUCUGAGAGGAUGAUCAGCCACACUGGAACUGAGACCCGGUCCAGACUCCUACGGGAGGCAGCAGUGGGGAAUAUUGGACAAUGGGCGCAAGCCUGAUCCAGCCAUACCGCGUGGGUGAAGAAGGCCUUCGGGUUGUAAAGCCCUUUUGUUGGGAAAGAAAAGCAGCAGGUUAAUACCCCGCUGUUCUGACGGUACCCAAAGAAUAAGCACCGGCUAACUUCGUG
This 492-nucleotide ribosomal RNA is filed under the name uncultured bacterium. RNAcentral describes it as "partial 16S ribosomal RNA". It matches the Rfam family "Bacterial small subunit ribosomal RNA", at positions 29 to 507 of the family's 1533-position model. The record is from RNAcentral.